Molecule: unclassified non-coding RNA, 253 nt
Filed under: uncultured Paracoccaceae bacterium
Lineage: Bacteria; Pseudomonadati; Pseudomonadota; Alphaproteobacteria; Rhodobacterales; Paracoccaceae
Description: uncultured Rhodobacteraceae bacterium contains 16S-23S intergenic spacer region
Rfam family: Bacterial small subunit ribosomal RNA
Source: RNAcentral
UACGGAGGGGGUUAGCGUUGUUCGGAAUUACUGGGCGUAAAGCGUACGUAGGCGGAUCAGAAAGUAUAGGGUGAAAUCCCAGGGCUCAACCCUGGAACUGCCUUAUAAACUCCUGGUCUUGAGUUCGAGAGAGGUGAGUGGAAUUCCAAGUGUAGAGGUGAAAUUCGUAGAUAUUUGGAGGAACACCAGUGGCGAAGGCGGCUCACUGGCUCGAUACUGACGCUGAGGUACGAAAGUGUGGGGAGCAAACAGG